Long non-coding RNA from Pyrus x bretschneideri (Chinese white pear), 576 nucleotides. RefSeq lists it as uncharacterized. The transcript is spliced from 3 exons. NCBI's taxonomy places the organism in Eukaryota, Viridiplantae, Streptophyta, Magnoliopsida, Rosales, Rosaceae. The record is from RefSeq and is a predicted model, not a curated record.
GUAUAUUUGAAUGUAUGUUUACUUUAGAGAUUUUGGAUAAUGAUCAUGAAUUGUGGUGUUAGUGCAUAUCUAAGUUUUUUUUUUCCACGCUUCUGCAUACUGUUUAUAGCUAAAUGAAUUAUAUUUGGGGUCUUCCAAAUUUUUUAACUGUUACUCUGUAUGAAGUUGUAUUAAUUUUUUAUUCAUUGGUUUAUGUUUUGGCCUUUUUAUUCAAGGGUUUAUCUGUGUGACGAUUACACAACUACAAUUCGAUUAGUCGAGCAUCGGUCUUUUCAUCCUUGAGUUGUUCUCAGAGCAUCUGCUCUAUCAAUGCUUUCCUGCCUUCUAUUGUCCAGGCUGAAGCAAUCGUGUUGCUGACCUACUCCCACAUUCCACCACCACGCAGAUUAUUCUAGAGCCAUAGUUAUGGAAGGAAAAAGGAUUUUCUGCCUAUGACACCCAAGAAAGGUAGUAGUCUUCUCUUUCUUGGUUAAUUUAUUAAGAAAUGAUUUCCUAAGCAUUCUUCUUUUUAACUUAUUCGUUUACAGUGCGGGAAGAUUGUUGAUUAUCUCAUUGACCCUGGCCUUCGUUGCCGGC